AGAGCGAACGCUGGCGGCGUGCUUAACACAUGCAAGUCGAACGCGCAGCAUUCUGUAGCAAUACAGGAUGUGGGCGCGUGGCGAACGGGUGCGUAACACGUGGAUAACCUUCCUUCAGGUGGGGAAUAACCCAGCGAAAGUUGGGCUAAUACCGCAUAACAUGACGAUGCCACAUGGUGUUGUCUUCAAAGGCGCAAGUCGCCAGAAGAGGGAUCCGCGGCCGAUUAGCUUGUUGGCGAGGUAAUGGCUCACCAAGGCAUUGAUCGGUAGCCGGACUGAGAGGUUGGCCGGCCACACUGGAACUGAGACACGGUCCAGACUCCUACGGGAGGCAGCAGUGGGGAAUCUUGCACAAUGGACGAAAGUCUGAUGCAGCAACGCCGCGUGGGGGAUGAAGCUUCUCGGAGUGUAAACCCCUUUCGACCUGGACGAAUGCCCGCAAGGGUUUGACGGUACGGGUAUAAGAAGCCCGGCUAACUACGCGCCAGCA
RNAcentral lists this ribosomal RNA (490 nucleotides) under uncultured bacterium. RNAcentral describes it as "SSU rRNA". It matches the Rfam family "Bacterial small subunit ribosomal RNA", at positions 26 to 513 of the family's 1533-position model. The record is from RNAcentral.